AAUAUAGUUACGAUUCCAACUCCACUCUUCUUCUUUCCCCCAUUCGAACAAAACCCUUAUUUCAUCCAUCUUCAAAGCUCCGUGUGUUUCCAAGUUCCAAAUUGACGAAGUCUAAUGGCGAAGAAGAAACCCAAGUCUUCUCAGGCGCCGGCGAAGAAGAAAGCCCUUCCUCCUCCGCAUUCCGAGCUUCCGCCGUCCUAUUCAGUUUCAGGUGCCCUGCAGCCUGAUCCGCGUCUCCCGGUGAGGCUGUUUGCCUGAUUUGGUUGUUUUGAACACUGUUGUUGCUGGGAAAUGGCUUGAUGCUGUUCUCAAGGACAAUGUUCCUGAAGUUCUUCCUAAGAUCUUCUGGUGGAUUCAUGAGAUGAGAGGUCAUUAUUUCAAGGCGGAUUUAGUUAAGCAUCUUCCUUCUGUUUUGUCUUUUGUUUUGGUUUGAGUAGUUGUCUCCAGACCUUUGUUUUCUCUUUCAAGUAAUGAAAAUGCUUUCGUCUGCAAAUUUUAUUCUA
Raphanus sativus (radish) is the source of this 503-nucleotide long non-coding RNA. RefSeq lists it as uncharacterized. The record is from RefSeq and is a predicted model, not a curated record. NCBI's taxonomy places the organism in Eukaryota, Viridiplantae, Streptophyta, Magnoliopsida, Brassicales, Brassicaceae. The transcript is spliced from 2 exons.